UUCUGAGCGGGGAUGCGGGGCGCGGCGGGCGAGCCUGAUCCAGCAAUGCCGCGUGAGUGAUGAAGGCCUUCGGGUUGUAAAGCUCUUUCGCCGGGGAAGAAAAUGACGGUACCCGGAAAAGAAGCCUCUGAUAACUCCGUGCCAACAACCCCGGUAAUUAUUCCUGGCAGCAACCGCGGUAAUUACUUCUUCCCAACGAAAAAAUUAAACCGAAAGCUUCUCAUCCGCGGGUUGCUGGUCGGGUUUCCCCUUGUCAUAUUCCACUGAAGCACAUAGCCCCCGGACCCCCCGACCCACCCGACCGCGUAUUAAAAAGAAAUAACCCCCCCCUUCCCACCCCAAAAAUAAAA
Molecule: ribosomal RNA, 350 nt
Filed under: uncultured bacterium
Lineage: Bacteria
Description: partial 16S ribosomal RNA
Rfam family: Bacterial small subunit ribosomal RNA (bases 1-176)
Source: RNAcentral